AAAAUGUUUGCUAUAUGUAAUGUAAAGUCUACUGCAUUCUUACGUCCAUAUGAGAGCCUGUCCUGAAGAUAUUACAGUGCACUGUCUUCCAGAAUAGACAGACUUUCAAUAUAUUUGUAUAUUGAAUUGAGGAACCCAGAUCUACUGAAAUACUGUAUUACAAGACCUGGGAGAGUAGCCUGAAGGUAGGCUUGUGGUAGGUAGAUAAUAUAGCUGUACAGUCCUUUUAAAAAACAAAGCACAUGUUUAUGUGAGAAUUUGUGACUAGCUGGAGCAAAAUUGCAAUG
Molecule: long non-coding RNA, 287 nt
Filed under: Struthio camelus australis
Lineage: Eukaryota; Metazoa; Chordata; Aves; Struthioniformes; Struthionidae
Description: lncRNA (ENSSCUG00000008801.1)
Source: RNAcentral